CCGUUAUCAAGAAAGGCGGAGGGACUAGACCCAAUGAAACCUUGGCAACCCUUUACUUUAAAGUAGGUGCUACAUUCUAUUACGCCUAUGGCGUGAAAGAUAACAG
This 106-nucleotide non-coding RNA is filed under the name Maribacter sp. HTCC2170. RNAcentral's name for it is "SAM riboswitch aptamer (S box leader)". It matches the Rfam family "SAM riboswitch aptamer (S box leader)". Rfam says of the family: The SAM riboswitch is found upstream of a number of genes which code for proteins involved in methionine or cysteine biosynthesis in Gram-positive bacteria. The SAM riboswitch acts at the level of transcription termination control. The predicted structure consists of a complex stem-loop region followed by a single stem loop terminator region. RNAcentral also lists the same sequence under 1 other name. The record is from Rfam by way of RNAcentral. Lineage: Bacteria; Pseudomonadati; Bacteroidota; Flavobacteriia; Flavobacteriales; Flavobacteriaceae.